This 589-nucleotide ribosomal RNA is filed under the name uncultured bacterium. RNAcentral's name for it is "bacterial SSU rRNA". It matches the Rfam family "Bacterial small subunit ribosomal RNA", at positions 919 to 1498 of the family's 1533-position model. The record is from RNAcentral.
GCCCGCACAAGCGGUGGAGCAUGUUUGUUCAAUUCGAUGCAACGCGAAGAACCGUACCUGGACUUGACAUCCGUGAAAUCUCUAAGAGAUUGGAGAGUGUCCCGAUUUAUCGGGAAAUCACGAGACAGGUGCUGCAUGGCUGUCGUCAGCUCGUGUUGUGAAAUGUUGGGUUAAGUCCCGUAACGAGCGCAACCCCUACCCUUAGUUGCCAAUAUUAAGUUAGGAACUCUAAGGGGACUGCCAAGUUAAACUUGGAGGAAGGUGGGGACGACGUCAAGUCAUCAUGGUCCUUAUGUCCAGGGCUACAAACGUGCUACAAUGGUCGGUACAAAGGGAAGCUAAACAGCGAUGUGGUGCAAAUCCCAAAAAACCGAUCUCAGUUCGGAUUGGAGUUUGCAACUCGACUCCAUGAAGGUGGAAUCGCUAGUAAUCGCGGAUCAGCAGGUCGCGGUGAAUACGUUCCCGGGCCUUGUACACACCGCCCGUCAAGUCAACCGAGUUGAUUGCACCCGAAGAGGGUGAGCAAAUCCUUACAGAUAGCAGCCAGCGAAGGUAUGAUCAGCAAGGGGGACUAAGUCGUAACAAGGUA